UUAAGUAAGGAAGGGCGUACGGCGAAUGCCUUGCCACUCGAAACUGAAGAAGGACGCGCCAAACUGCGAAAAGCUCCGUGAAGCUGUAAGGAAGCGAAGAAGCGGAGGUGUCCGAAUGGGGGAACCCGGCAGCAGACAUGAGCUGUCAUCUGCAGGUGAAUACAUGGCUUGCAAGAGAGGUACCCGGCGAACUGAAACAUCUAAGUAGCCGGAGGAAAAGAAAACAACAGUGAUUCCCUGAGUAGCGGCGAGCGAAAGGGGAGAAGCCCAAACCGGUUGAAGGACCGGGGUUGAAGGACCAUGACAUGGCAAGAACGAGGAUAGGAGAACGGGAUCGAAAGCCCGGCCGAAGAAGGUGAAAGCCCUGUAACCGAAAUCCGAGUAAAGCCUAAUGGGAUCCUGAGUACGGCGAGACACGAGAAAUCUUGUCGGAAGCAGGCGGGACCAUCCGCCAAGGCUAAAUAUAAACGAGUGAGCGAUAGUGAACCAGUACCGUGAGGGAAAGGUGAAAAGAACCGCGGGAGCGGAGUGAAAGAGAACCUGAAACCGUAUGCCUACAAGAAGUCAGAGCCCGUUAAGGGGUGAUGGCGUGCCUUUUGUAGAAUGAACCGGCGAGUUGCGACAGACUGCGAGGUUAAGGAGGAAAGACCGGAGCCGAAGCGAAAGCGAGUCUUAAGAGGGCGAAAGUAGGAUGUUGCAGACCCGAAACCGGGUGAUCUAGCCAUGAGCAGGUUGAAGUUGAGGUGAAACUCAAUGGAGGACCGAACCGACUACCGUUGAAAAGUUAGCGGAUGACUUGUGGCUAGGGGAGAAAUUCCAAUCGAACCCGGAGAUAGCUGGUUCUCCCCGAAAUAGCUUUAGGGCUAGCGUCGGAAAGAACCUUAGUGAAGGUAGAGCACUGAAUGUGUGAUGGCCCCAUCCCGGGGUACUGAAUACAAUCAAACUGCGAAUGUCAUUAAGGAUGUCCGGCAGUCAGACUGUGAGUGAUAAGGUCCAUGGUCAAGAGGGAAACAGCCCAGACCGCCAGUUAAGGUCCCAAAAUACAGGCUAAGUGGAAAAGGAUGUGGGGAUGCCCAGACAACUAGGAGGUUGGCUCAGAAGCAGCCAUCCUUUAAAGAGUGCGUAACAGCUCACUAGUCGAGUGACCCUGCGCCGAAAAUGUACCGGGGCUAAGCCUGAUACCGAAACUGCGGAUUGUAGGAAACUAUAGUGGUAGGGGAGCGUUGUAUACGAGCAGAAGCCGUACCGUGAGGAGCGGUGGAUUGUAUAGAAGUGAGAAUGCCGGUGUGAGUAGCGAGAUGUAGGUGAGAAUCCUACACACCGAAAGCCCAAGGAUUCCAGGGGAAGGUUCGUCCGCCCUGGGUAAGUCGGGACCUAACGCGAGGCCGAAAGGCGUAGUGGAUGGAAAGCAGGCGAAAGAUUCCUGCACCCGUAUAUGGAGCGAAGGAGUGACGGAGACGGAUAGUGUGACCCUCUUAAUGGAUUGAGGGCGAAGCGAAGCGGCUGGUUACCAGGCAAAUCCGGUAACCAUAAGGCUAGAGCGUGACAGGUAAGCGAAAUCUUAGGAAAGUAGCGAAGCACAUGAUGACGGCUUCCAGGAAAAGCUUCUGGCAAUGCAUAUGCGGCCCGUACCAAAACCGACACAGGUGGGCAGGGAGAGAAUCCCGAGGUGAGCGAGAGAACUGUUGCCAAGGAACUCGGCAAAAUGACUCCGUAAGUUAGCGAGAAGGAGUGCUUAAGCAAUUAAGCCGCAGUGAAGAGGCCCAAGCGACUGUUUAACUAAAACACAGCUCUCUGCGAAGUCGCAAGACGAAGUAUAGGGGGUGACACCUGCCCGGUGCUGGAAGGUUAAGAGGAUCUGUUAAGAGCGAUCUGAAGCAGUGAUCCGAAGCCCCAGUGAACGGCGGCCGUAACUAUAACGGUCCUAAGGUAGCGAAAUUCCUUGUCAGGUAAGUUCUGACCCGCACGAAAGGUGUAACGAUUUGGGCGCUGUCUCGGCAGCAGACUCGGUGAAAUCUUAGUACCUGUGAAAAUGCAGGUUACCCGCAACUAGACGGAAAGACCCCAUGGAGCUUUACUGCAGCCUGAUAUUGAAUUCUGGUCAUACAUGUACAGGAUAGGUGGGAGACAAAGAGACGUGCACGCCAGUGUACGAGGAGUCGACGUUGGGAUACCACUCUUGUGUGACCGGGGUUCUAACCUGGUAUCGAGAACAGGUACGGGGAGAGUGUCAGGUGGGCAGUUUGACUGGGGCGGUCGCCUCCCAAAGAGUAACGGAGGCGCCCAAAGGUACGCUCAGAUUGGAUGGAAACCAAUCGUCGAGUGCAAUUGCAGAAGCGUGCUUGACUGUGAGACAGACAAGUCGAACAGGGACGAAAGUCGGGAAUAGUGAUCCGGCGGUGCCGAAUGGAAGGGCCGUCGCUCAACGGAUAAAAGCUACCCUGGGGAUAACAGGCU
RNAcentral lists this ribosomal RNA (2457 nucleotides) under human gut metagenome. Its description in RNAcentral is "bacterial LSU rRNA". It matches the Rfam family "Bacterial large subunit ribosomal RNA", at positions 3 to 2483 of the family's 2925-position model. The record is from RNAcentral.